RNAcentral lists this ribosomal RNA (419 nucleotides) under Serratia sp.19ANAV. RNAcentral's name for it is "bacterial SSU rRNA". It matches the Rfam family "Bacterial small subunit ribosomal RNA", at positions 72 to 490 of the family's 1533-position model. Lineage: Bacteria; Pseudomonadati; Pseudomonadota; Gammaproteobacteria; Enterobacterales; Yersiniaceae. The record is from RNAcentral.
GCUUGCUACUUUGCCGGCGAGCGGCGGACGGGUGAGUAAUGUCUGGGAAACUGCCCGAUGGAGGGGGAUAACUACUGGAAACGGUAGCUAAUACCGCAUAACGUCUUCGGACCAAAGUGGGGGACCUUCGGGCCUCACACCAUCGGAUGUGCCCAGAUGGGAUUAGCUAGUAGGUGGGGUAAUGGCUCACCUAUGCGACGAUCCCUAGCUGGUCUGAGAGGAUGACCAGCCACACUGGAACUGAGACACGGUCCAGACUCCUACGGGAGGCAGCAGUGGGGAAUAUUGUACAAUGGGCGCAAGCCUGAUGCAGCCAUGCCGCGUGUGUGAAAAAAGCCUUCGGGUUGUAAAGCACUUUCACCGAGGAGGAAAGGUGGUGUGUUAAUAUCGCACCACAUUGACGUUACUCGCAGAAAAAA